RNAcentral lists this ribosomal RNA (389 nucleotides) under Staphylococcus aureus. Its description in RNAcentral is "partial 23S ribosomal RNA". It matches the Rfam family "Bacterial large subunit ribosomal RNA", at positions 1 to 383 of the family's 2925-position model. The record is from RNAcentral. Lineage: Bacteria; Bacillati; Bacillota; Bacilli; Caryophanales; Staphylococcaceae.
GAUUAAGUUAUUAAGGGCGCACGGUGGAUGCCUUGGCACUAGAAGCCGAUGAAGGACGUUACUAACGACGAUAUGCUUUGGGGAGCUGUAAGUAAGCUUUGAUCCAGAGAUUUCCGAAUGGGGAAACCCAGCAUGAGUUAUGUCAUGUUAUCGAUAUGUGAAUACAUAGCAUAUCAGAAGGCACACCCGGAGAACUGAAACAUCUUAGUACCCGGAGGAAGAGAAAGAAAAUUCGAUUCCCUUAGUAGCGGCGAGCGAAACGGGAAGAGCCCAAACCAACAAGCUUGCUUGUUGGGGUUGUAGGACACUCUGUACGGAGUUACAAAGGACGACAUUAGACGAAUCAUCUGGAAAGAUGAAUCAAAGAAGGUAAUAAUCCUGUAGUCGAA